This 380-nucleotide ribosomal RNA is filed under the name uncultured eukaryote. Its description in RNAcentral is "partial 18S ribosomal RNA". It matches the Rfam family "Eukaryotic small subunit ribosomal RNA", at positions 592 to 976 of the family's 1831-position model. The record is from RNAcentral.
CAAUAGCGUAUAUUAAAGUUGUUGCGGUUAAAAAGCUCGUAGUUGGAUUUCUGCUGAGGAUGACCGGUCCGCCCUUUGGGUGUGUAUCUGGCUCUUUCUUGGCAUCUUCUUGGUGAACGUUGCUGCACUUGACUGUGUGGAGCGCUACCCAGGACUUUUACUUUGAGGAAAUUAGAGUGUUUCAAGCAGGCAUACGCCUUGAAUACAUUAGCAUGGAAUAAUAAGAUAGGACCUCGGUUCUAUUUUGUUGGUUUCUAGAGCUGAGGUAAUGAUUAAUAGGGAUAGUUGGGGGCAUUCGUAUUUAACUGUCAGAGGUGUAAUUCUUGGAUUUGUUAAAGACGGACUACUGCGAAAGCAUUUGCCAAGGAUGUUUUCAUUGA